RNAcentral lists this ribosomal RNA (348 nucleotides) under Triticum aestivum (bread wheat). RNAcentral's name for it is "partial small subunit ribosomal RNA". Lineage: Eukaryota; Viridiplantae; Streptophyta; Magnoliopsida; Poales; Poaceae. The record is from RNAcentral.
AUGUCCGACGGCGACUGCGAGCACGGUGCCGGCAGCUCGGCGCCGAUGUGCAACUUUGUUCGGAAGCCGCUGAAGAAUAUUCGGAAGCGUCCGGCCGCCUUUGUCGGCUCUGACGACGAAGAAGGUAGCAGCAGCGAUGAAUCCGGGGCCAUCGCGGCGGCGCGAUCUAAGAAGCCGCCAUCUACUACCAGCAAGCUCUUCUUCUCCUCCGCCGACAACUCACACGAGCCCUGCCGUUUCCAGUUCGAGUCGUCCCGGACGAUUCAGUCCUCCACCGACAACCGCGCCACUGCGACGCUUGAGACGGAGACGACGUACGACCGUGAUGCGCGCGCCAUCCGCGAGUGA